RNAcentral lists this long non-coding RNA (15821 nucleotides) under Triticum aestivum (bread wheat). RNAcentral describes it as "long non-coding RNA (TAES_LNC023212)". The record is from RNAcentral. Lineage: Eukaryota; Viridiplantae; Streptophyta; Magnoliopsida; Poales; Poaceae.
UAGAGCAGCAAAAUUUUUGUGGGCAAAAGAAAUCAGGGCAAAAUCAGACUGCUACGGCUCGUCUGAUUUGUGUGAGUCUCCUCUGAUGCAUCCUUGUACCAAGACAUCUCAACUCUUGAGUAACAUAAGGCAGCUCAGCUCAUUUGUUGGGGCCCUACAGAAAAUCACAGACGAUACAUCUGAAUCCAUGUUCUGUAUCAUCCUGUAAAAAUAGAUAAAAAAAGUUUAAUUAUAUGCACCAUUCAUGGCUUCUCUAAUAGGAAGAGUUCUCUUAGGCGCAUUGUUUUCGUGUAAUAUAGGUCAGAGCUGAUGGGCUCGCCAAAUUGGUCUGGGGUUAAGACAUUUGUUUGUGUAAUGGUGUGAAAUAAUAACGAUCCAGCUCUCAGUUUUCUAAUACUUCCUUUGUCCUACAAUGCACGGCGAUUUUGCAAGUUAUGUUGCUUGCAAAAACGUCUUAUGUUAUGGGAUGGAGGAAGUACUACAUACAUUCUUUUUCUUUUAUAUAAAGAGGAGGCAAAAGAUCUGCCUGCUUUUCAUUAGUUAAGGAGAGUGAAACAGAGUAUCAUGAGUUAAAACACAUUGGCGGUUGGAGGUUGUAUUCAUCCGUCUUGGACCCAAUCAGGAAUUUUCUGAGGAAGUUUUCAAAAUAUUUUCUGAACAAUGUAGAUUUAUAGGGAGGAAAAUGUUUUCUCUAUCGAUGCAGAGGAUAGAAAUAGAGGAAGAUGAUGUCAGGCAGAGGGUCUUGUGAUGUAGGAUAGGAAUAAAGGGAUUAUUUAUAUGCACCUUAAUCUAGCCACAGGUACUCUCUAGUUGGAUUACCGGCACGGCCUUGUCCUCCACACUUUCUCUUCUUAGUUUGGACUUUGGAGCAAUUUCAUGUAAAUUUUGUUCUCCUCCAAUGCCUCAAACAAAAUACAAAAACAUAUGUGAGCUGCAUCUCAUGCCUCCUCUCUCCUCUCUCACAGUCUCUAGCAUCUCUAAAUGUUUCUCUCAAGAACUACAUUUUUACUUCUAUCCUCUUCUCUUUGUUUUCUCUUAUAUAGCAAACCAGACUACAUGCACAGGCUGUUUAGCCACAACCAAGCUCACGCCACAUGACUCGAGCUGGUCACUCACACCAUUCUACAUGGGAAACUAACCACUGCCAGAUCAUAUCCACAGGAAGCAUGCUACUUGACCGCCCUCACGCAAAUUUUGUUCUCCUCGAAUGCCUCAAACAAAGCUGCACCUCAAAUCUCCUCGCUCCUCUCUCACAAUCUCUAGCAUCUCUGAAUGUUUCUCUCAAGAACAGAGGCACACCAAGGUGGGAAAGCGCCGAUGCAUCUCUUUUUGGUGAAACGAACAGCUAGUACAUUUUUGCUUGUGCCCUCACUGCCUAUUCCCUCUUCUCUUUGUGUCUCUUAUAUAGCAAACCAGACUACAUGCAGGUUGUUAGCCUCAACCAAGGUCACGCCUCACGCCACAUGACUCGGCCAAAUGCUCGCUGGUCACUCACACCAUCACUGCCAGAUCAUAUCGAUAGGAAGCAUGCUACUUGACCGCCCUCACGUAAAUUUUGUUCUCCUCCAACGCCUCAAACAAAGCUGGACCUCAAAACUCCUCGCUCCUCUCUCACAACCUCUAGCAUCUCUGAACGUUUCUCUCAAGGACACAGACACAUCAAGGUGGGAAAGCGCCGACGCAUCUCUUUUUGGUGAAACGAACAACUAGUCUACAUGCACAGGUUGUUAGCCUCAACCAAGCUCAGGCCUCACGCCACAUGACUCUGGCCAAAUGCUCGCUGGUCACUCACACCAUCUUACAUGCAUGGGAAACUAACCACUGCCAGAUCCAUAGGAAACAUGCUACUUGACCGACUCAAGUAGCAAUUUAUUUACAAUUAAUCACAUGUUUUAAUAUGACGUGAUAGAAACUAGGCAAACGAUUCUGUUGAUAUUUCCUUCGAAUAAUUCACAUAUAGUGUUUCAGUGAUACAAGCCAUAGAAAUGGUUCUAUUAACAUGAGAAAGAUAACAUUUGCCACGUGGAACACUGUUUGACAAAAGGAUGUUGAUGCACAUGCUCAUUGCCGAAGUCCGUCCUUCUCCCUGCCAUCUUGUUCUUCGACACCCAUCAACUAGCGGCCCUUUCCACAUAUAUACCAUACAAAUGAGCCUUGCUUAUCAUCAUUUAAAAAAUUAGAGUUAAUUGCAUCCAUGGUACAUGAAUUUGCACGACGGAUACAUAUUGAUACAACAAAUUGAAAAAUGACACAAAUUGGUCACACAACUUGAGUUUCGUGCCGUCAAUGCCCCGUAACUCUGCCUACAUGGCACACAAACAUGGCAAUCGGCCGCACUCUACCUCACUUCAUUUCGCAGGUCCCAACACCACAUUUAGAAAAAACAAAUAAUUUCUCCUGGUAGCUGACAAGUGGGACCUACACAACAAAGUGAGGUAGAGCGUGUGCCAAUUGCCAUGUUUGACGUGCCAUGUAGGCAGUGUUACGUGGCUUUUUAAUGGCAAUAAACGAAAAUGUACUUGAAACUCAAGUUGCGUUUUUUUAAAAGCUAGUCGAAUCCCAACACCGCAUUUUUUAAAACAAAUAAUUUCUCCUGGCAUCUGACAUGCGGGACCUACACAACAAGUGAGGUAGAGCAUGGGCCAAUUGCCAUGUUUGACGUGCCAUGUAGGCAGAGUUAUGGGGCAUUAACAACAAUAGACGUAAAUUUACCUGGAACUCAAAUUGUGUUUGUCUCUACUCCUAUAAAAUUCUUAGUUGGUGAUGAUGGUGUGCAUAUAACAUUUGUAAGCCUUCUUUGGUUUGGAGCAAUUCUAUAGGAAUUUCAUAGGAUAGGAUUUCUAUAGAAAAUAUUCCUUUAGAACCCUUUGAUUUUUAUGAAUAAAAUCAUAUUCCUAUGGAGGAAUCUACUAUUCUUAAGAAGUUGAUCCCCACUUCUAAUAAUUCUCUCUACAUGCACAUUGUCCACAUCAACAUGAUGCCACGUCAAUGUUCUCUCAACAUGCAACCUCCACAUCACCGGUCCACUCAGAUCAACAAUUCUGCACAUGCAUAAUGCCACGUCCACAUUAUAAGUCCCACGAUGAAAAUACAUACUAGAUUACUAGAGCGCACUACUAGAUUUAUGGUCACAAUGAAUGUUAGUGGUCUGUUGUUUCACUAUCUCCUUGAUUCUCGGUCGUUUCGUCCUCCUAUAAGCAUAUAGUGUAAUCAAUGCGACAGUCCCCAUCGGUUCCCGUCCCAUCCCCUUCCCUCUGCCUGAGUUGCUUGCUUCGUGCAGUUACUAUCUGGGCGAUCAAACAGUCCCUUCGAAUCUCGCGGCUUCAUAGCACAAGUACUGCGAAAUCAAGAAGGCGUGAAUGAGACGUUAGUACCUAACUAUCUUCAAUUUGUGCAGGUGGAAAUUUGAUGCUCCUCUAGUAAGCGCCGCUUCGCGUCAGCAGAGCAGCGUAGUAAAUACUGAAGAUGGUCACUAGAGCAACAAAUUUUUGUGGGAAAUAGAAAUCAGGGCCAAAUCAGACUGCUAUGGCUCGUCUGAUUUGUGUGAGUCUCCUCUGAUGCAUCCUUGUACCAAGACAUCUCAACUCUUGAGUAACAUAAGGCAGCUCAGCUCAUUUGUUGGGACCCUACAGAAAGUCACAUACCAUACAUCUGAAUCCAUGAUAUGUAUCAUCCUGUAAAAAUAGAUAAAAAAAGUUUAAUUAUAUGCACCAUUCAUGGCUUCUCUAAUAGGAAGAGUUCUCUUAGGCGCAUUGUUUUCGUGUAAUAUAGGUCAAGAGCAGAUGGGCUCGCCAAAUUGGUGUGGGGCUAAGACAUUUUCUUUGUGUAAUGGUGUGAAAUAAUGACGAUCCAGCUCUUAGUUUUCUAAUACUCCCUUUGUCCUGCAAUGCAAGGGGAUUUUGCAAGCUAUGUUGCUUGCAAAGACGUCUUAUAUUAUGGGAUGAAAGGAGUACUGCAUACAUUUUUCUUUUCUCUUAAAGUUGAGGCAAAAGAUCUGCCUCAAUGAAACAGAGUAUCACGGGUUAAACACAUUGGAGGUUGGAGGUUGUAAUUCUAUUUCAUCCAUCUUGGACUCAAUCAGGAAUUUUGUGAGGAAGUUUUCAAAAUAUUUUUUGAACAAUAUAUAUUUAUACGGCGGGAAAUAUUUUCUCUAUAUUGAUGCAAGGGAUAGAAAUAGAGGAAGAUGAUGUAGGGCAGAGGCAGAGGGUGGCCAAUUUUUGUGUUUUGACUUUUUGCGCAAAGUUUAGUCUGAUCUAACCCCAGUUCAAAAGUAUUUCGAGAUUUGACCCUUUUCCCUGCCGCUGGGGAGGAUGGAGGUAGGGUUGUAUAGGCUACCACCCAAAGUCUCGGCGGUAGCCCACUCAUCCAUGUCAGCCCAAGUAAACGGCCGUCGUCUUCUGCCGUCCAUCCUAUCGUCGUGGACCCUGGUGGUAGAUGCUGAACAAUUAUAAACCACGGGGACCGGGGCACGGGGCCCACCCACGAACCCCAGCCCCCAUCUUCUCCGCUGCGUGGCUGCAAGAACAGAGAGGGAGGUGACGACGCCGUAGACCUAGGGUAGGGUCAUAGACCUGACGUAUACACCCUACCCAAGGUCACUACCCUUGAAUCAAGGACAUUCAAAGUAUAGCAAGAAAUACCAACUGAAUUAGCCAUGGAGUGCAAUCCACUUGACCAGUCACCUCACUUGGAUACCUCAAUUUCACUCGACCAAGAUGAAGUCAUUCGACCAUAUAGGAAACCACUCGGAGUACAGAAGACCUAGAGUCACUCAAGAUGGCAACGGUCAGGCAUUCACUCCGUAGUCUUAAAGAUCAUUAAUAGCACUUUAUAGCUGGUGUUACCAGUAAAGCCCUGUCUUAAUGUACACAAGGGUUCGCACCCCUUGUAACACACACUCAUAUUCUAGUCGACCGCCUCAGGGCUCCGAGACGUAGGGCUUUUACCUCCUCCGAGUGGGGCCUGAACUCGUAAACUCGUGUGUACAACCUCGCCGUAGCUAGGGCCUUGCCUCCUCAUACGUACCCCCUACUCUUACUGUCAGACUUAAUACCAUGACAGUUGGCACCCACCGUGGGGCAAAGCGUCCUAGCAACUUCCGGCGACGUUGUAUUUUUUCCGAUCUUCAUCAACGUGGUUUUCGGCGGUGGUUUGGUAACGGGCCAUGAGUUCCAACUCGGCGCGCUCACUUUCUCGCCGACGAUUCCACCUGGCUCCAAGAAGCCCCCCUCGAUGUCGAGGCUCUUCCGAUCCGCAGGGCGUCGCACUUCCGUGCGAGUGCCUGCGGUGUUCUUCUACGUCAGCCGUCGACUCCGUAUCGGUCGGCCCUCACAUGGUCUGCUCACUUCGCUGGACGCCGCCGCAAGCGAUCCGGUCGGUCGCGGCUCCAGCGGUGGGUAAAGCAUGCGGUGGCCCAUCAGACGGCCACCCUCAAGUCCCGGCGAUCGAGCCCGAUGAAUUUCUUUAUGGUCCAGUCGACCCGACGACUAGCUCUGCGAGUACUUUUUUCGAGCGCGGGAGCUGUGACCCCCGCGGCAGAAGUCCUCAUGGACGACUCCCAUCGCAGCCACCCUAGGUUUCACCGCAACGGUGGCAACGGCGACGGUGACAGCUGAUACGUCUCCAACGUAUCUUUAAUUUAUGAAGCAUUCGUGCUAUUAUAUUAUCUGUUUUGGAUGUUUAUGGGCUUUACUAAGCACUUUUAUAUUAUUUUUGGGACUAACCUAUUAACCGGAGGCCCAGCCCAAAUUGCUGUUUUCCGGCCUAUUUCAGUGUUUUGAAGAAAAGGAAUAUGAAACGGAGUCCAAACGAAAUGAAACCUUCGGGAAAGUUAUUUUUGGAACGGAAGCAAUCCAAGGGACUUGGAGUGCAUGUAAGGGAAGCCUCGAGGUGGCCACGAGGCAGGGAGGCGCGCCCACCCCCUGGGCGCGCCCCCCACCCUCAUGGGCCCCUCGUGGCUCCCGUGACCGACUUCUUUCGCCUAUAUAUCUCCAUAUACCCUAAAAACAUCGGGGACAACAAUAGAUCGGGAGUUCCGCCGCCGCAAGCCUCUGUAGCCACCAAAAACCUCUCGGGAGCCCGUUCCGGCACCCUGCCGGAGGGGGGAUCCCUCACCGGUGGCCAUCUUCAUCAUCCCGGCGCUCUCCAUGACGAGGAGGGAGUAGUUCAGCCUCGGGGCUGAGGGUAUGUACCAGUAGCUAUGUGUUUGAUCUCUCUCUCUCGUGUUCUUGAGGUGAUACGAUCUUGAUAUAUCGCGAGCUUUGCUAUUAUAGAUGGAUCUUAUGAUGUUUCUCCCCCUCUACUCUCUUAUGAUGAAUUGAGUUUUCCCCUUGAAGUUGUCUUGUCGGAUUGAGUCUUUAAGGAUUUGAGAACACUUGAUGUAUGUCUUGUCGUGCUUAUCUGUGGUGACAAUGGGAUAUUCACGUGAUCUACUUGAUGUAUGUUUUUGUGAUCAACUUGCGGGUUCAAUGAACUUAUGCAUAGGGGUUGGCACACGUUUCCUCUUGACUCUCCGGUAGAAACUUUGGGGCACUCUUUGAAGUACUUUGUGUUGUUUGAAUAGAUGAAUCUGAGAUUGUGUUAUGCAUAUCGUAUAAUCAUGCCCACGGAUACUUGAGGUGACAUUGGAGUAUCUAGGUGACAUUAGGGUUUUGGUUGAUUUGUGUCUUAAGGUGUUAUUCUAGUACGAACUCUAUGAUAGAUCUAACGGAAAGAAUAACUUCAUGUUAUUUUACUACGGACUCUUGAAUAGAUCGAUCAGAAAGGAUAACUUUGAGGUGGUUUCAUACUCUACCAUAAUCUCUUCAUUUGUUCUCCGCUAUUAGUGACUUUGGAGUGCCUCUUUGUUGCAUGUUGAGGGAUCAUUAUAUGAUCUAAUUAUGUUAUUAUUGUUGAGAGAACUUGCACUAGUGAAAGUAUGAACCCUAGGCCUUGUUUCCUAGCAUUGCAAUACCGUUUAAGCUCACUUUUAUCAUUAGUUACCUUGCUGUUUUUAUAUUUUCAGAUUACAAAAACCUAUAUCUACCAUCCAUAUUGCACUUGUAUCACCAUCUCUUCGCCGAACUAGUGCACCUAUACAAUUUUCCAUUGUAUUGGGUGUGUUGGGUACACAAGAGACUCUUUGUUAUUUGGUUGCAGGGUUGUUUGAGAGAGACCAUCUUCAUCCUACGGCUCCCACGGAUUGAUAAACCUUAGGUCAUCCACUUGAGGGAAAUUUGCUAUUGUCCUACAAACCUCUGCACUUGGAGGCCCAACAACUUGUACAAGAAGAAGGUUGUGUAGUAGACAUCAAGCUCUUUUCUAGCGCCGUUGCCGGGGAGGUGAGUGCUUGAAGGUAUAUCUUUAAAUCUUGCAAUCAAAUCUUUUUGUUUCUUGUUUUAUCACUAGUUUAGUUUAUAAAAGAAAACUUCAAAAAAAUGGAAUUGAGUUUGCCUCAUACGCUUCAUCUUUUUAAUAUCUUUCGUGAGAAUGAUGGAAAGGAAAAUUGUGCUCAAUUGCUAGAAGAAGAAUUACAUAUAAUGCUUGGCAUAAAAUAUGUGAAUGAUGAGCAUGAUUGCAAUGUUGUUAGUAUGAAUUCUUUGAAUACCCAUGAUGCUUAUGAUAUGCAAAGCCACAAGCUUGGGGAUGCUAUGUUUGAUGAAGAUGAUAUGUUUAGUCCCCCAAGUUUUGAUGAGAAUAUUUAUUAUGAUGAAAGCAUGCCUCCUAUUUAUGGUGAUUAUAUUGAUGAAAAUGGGUUUGGAAGAGUGUCAACUUUAGGAAGUAAUGAUCCCACUAUUUUGGAGGAUGUUGAAUAUUAUUGUGAUAAUUAUGAAAGUGGAUUUGAAGAGGUCAUGACUUUAUUUAGUUAUGAAUCCACUAUUUCGGAAGAGAUUCCAAAUGAUUAUGAGAACAAAGUUGCUAUCUAUGAUGAUUAUUGUGAUGACUUGUAUGCUAUUAAGAAUAAUGAUAACCAUGAAAAUUGUCAUCAUGAUUUUAGUUUUCAAUUGGAUUAUGCCUCACAUGAUAAUUAUUUUGUUGAGUUUGCUCCCACUACUAUUCAUGAGAAGAAAUUUGCUUAUGUGGAGAGUAGUAAAUUUUCUAUGCUUGUAGAUGAUGAAAAGAAUGCUUUAUGUGAUGGUUAUAUUGUUGAAUUCAUUCAUGAUGCUACUGAAAAUUAUUAUGAUGGAGGAAUAUAUGCUUGUAGGAAUUGCAAUAAUAUCAAGUUUCCUCUCUAUGUGCUUAAACUGUUGAAGUUAUGCUUGUUUUGCCUUCCUAUGCUAGUUGAUUAUUGUUCCCAUAAGUUGUUUGCUCAAAAAAUCCCUAUGCAUAGGAAGUGGGUUAGACUUAAAUGUCUAGUCAUAUGCUUCAUGAUGCUCCCGUUAUGUUUCAAUUCUUAUCUUUUAUGUGAGCAUCAUUGUCAUCAUCAUGCCUAGCUAGAAAGGCAUUAAAGAAAAGCUCUUGUUGGGAGACAACCCAAUAUUUACCCUUAAUGUUUUUGUGUGUCCACAUGAUUAUGCUACUGUGUUAAUCAUGUUUUAUAUCUUUUGUUUCAAUAAAGUGCCAAGUAAGACCUUUAGGAUAGCUUACGGUGAUAGUUGUGUUGAUCCUGCUGAAAAUCAGAAACUUUUGCACCCGGUAAAUUAGUUUUGGUAAUUCACAGAAACGUGAUUUUGAUCUGAUUCGUUUUUAUCUGGAUUGGUACACAAAUAUCUCAGGUUUUCCUAAUUUGGUAGGAUUGUUGGAGUUCUAGAAGUAUACGUUUUAUACAGAUUACUACAUACUGUUCUGUUUUUGACAGAUUCUGUUUUCUAUGUGUUGUUUGCUUAUAUUGAUGAAUCUAUGAGUAGUAUCGGAGGGUAUGAACCAUAGAGAAGUUGGAAUACAGUAGGUUUAACACCAAUAUGAAUUUAGAAUGAGUUCACAAUAGUACCUAAGUGGUGAUUUAUUUUCUUAUACUAACGGAGCUUACGAGUUUUCUGUUGAGUUUUGUGUUGUGAAGUUUUCAAGUUUUGGGUAAAGAUUCAAUGGACUAUGGAAUAAAGAGUGAUAAGAACCUAAGCUUGGGAAUGCCCAAGGCACCCCAAGAUAAUAUUUCAAUGAGUCUCAAGCAUCCAAGCUUGGGGAUGCCCCGUUAGGCAUCUCACCUUUCUUCUUCAACAACUAUCGGUUAGUAUCGGUUGAACCUAAGUUUUUGCUUUUUUUUCACAUGAGUUGUGCUAUCCUUACAAUGUCAUUUUAUUUUUCUUUGCUUGCUGUUUGAAUAAAAUACAAAGAUCUGAAAUUCUUAAAUGAGAGAGAGUCUUCACAUAGUUACAUAACUAUUUAGCUACUCAUUGAUCCUCACUUAUAUCUUUUUGGAGUAGUUUGUUAUUUACUCGUGUGCUUCACUUAUAUCCUUUGAGUAAAUGGUUGAAUGAUUUGAAUAUCAUAAAUCUGAAAUUAUACAUGUUUCACAUGCUUACCCCAUUGGGAGUAAUGUCUUCACAUCUAAGAAGUAGAGGUGGUAAAUUUAUUAAAGGUUAGCAAACAUAGUAUUGGUCACUUGAACAAUUCAUGAAAGAAUAUUGAAGGAAGAGAGAUUUCACAUAUAAAUAUACUAUCUUAUACAUCUUCUAUGAUUGUGAGCCCCAUUAAUUAUUUUCAAACCUGAGCAAAUUAGUUGAAGUUGGACAAGGAAGACAACGUAAUGAGUUAUGCUUGGGUAUAUUUGAAUAGAAGUUAUAUUGUUAUAGAUCCUCCAACAUGUGGCGCUUGCUUUUUAGAAUCCUUUGCUAGCCAAAAUAUCUGUACUAAGCAGGAAUACUGCUUGUGCAUCCAAAUUCCUUGAACCAAGUUUCUUCCAUGAGUGUCCACCAUACCUACCUAUAUGCGGUAUUUACCUGCCGUUCGAAGUAAAUUUGCAUGUGCCAAACUCUAAAUCUUCAAAUAACAAUCUAUUUUGUAUGCCUGAAUCACUCAUGUAGCGACUAGGGGCUGUCAGUAUCUUCCAUGCUUGGUGGGUUAUUCUCACGAUGAGUGGAAUCCGUCAUCAUUCACGAGAAAAAUGGCUGGUAACUGGGAUGACCAGUGCCAUGAUCAAAAGAUCAAAAUCAAAUAAAAAAUAAUUGCAAACAAAACUCCCCCAGGUUUGAUGUUAGUUGGAGGCACCCGUUGUUUCGGGCAAGCCAUGGAUUGAUGAUUGUUGGUGGAGGGGGAGUAAAAACUUUACCAUUCUGUUUGGGAACCGCCUAUAAAGUAUGUAGUAUGGAAGAUAUUGGGAACUCUUGGUUGUUAUGUUGACAAUGAAAGCAUACCUCUCAAAAUUAUUUUCAUCUCUAUUUCAAAAUCGAGCUCUGGCACCUCUGCAAAUCCUUGCUUCCCUCUGCGAAGGGCCUAUCUUUUACUUUUAUGCAAGAGUCAAUAGUAUUCCUUCUCAUUCCUACCUACUCUUUAGUUGGCAAGCAUCGUGUGUUGGUGAAAGAUCUAAGCAUAUAUGGCCAUUCAAAUAUAAUUUAUCAUGAAUUAUUAUUGUUGACAAUUAUCUAUAUGAUAAGUAAGUUGGGAGGCGAAACAUUAAGCCCCUAUAUUUCUCUGUGUUUGAUGGAUGCUAUUUUUUCUAAAAAUAUGCUUUGAGUGGUAGCAAUCAUGGAAGACUAUAUGAUAGUUGAGUAUGUGGAGUUUGCUAAAUCAAAGCUCUAACAUAGACCCUUCCUGAAAAUAAGAUGAAUUGCAAUUGUUUGAUGACUGAGAAUGAAGUUUGCUAGUUUUCAAGAAAGUUUAUGGUCUAUGCUUUAACAUUUGAAUAGCUUGUCACUUGAUCAUGAGAAGUUUUAUGAGAUGAGCUACUGUUAUGACAUAUAAUGAUGCUAGAAAAGGUGAUUGAAAUUAUCAUUGAUCAAACUUGUGCACCUGCUAGCAUUCACACUUCAUAAAUUAUUUCUUUUAUCAUUUACCUACUCGAGGACGAGCAGGAAUUAAGCUUGGGGAUGCUGAUACGUCUCCAACGUAUCUAUAAUUUAUGAAGCAUUCAUGCUAUUAUAUAGUCUGUUUUGGAUGUUUAUGGGCUUUACUAAGCACUAUUAUAUUAUUUUUGGGACUAACUAUUAACUGGAGGCCCAACCCGAAUUGUUGUUUUCUGGCCUAUUUUAGUGUUUCGAACAAAAGGAAUAUCAAACGGAGUCGAAACGGAAUGAAACCUUCGGGAAAGUUAUUUUUGGAACGGAAGCAAUCCAUGGGACUUGGAGUGCACGUAAGGGAAGCUUCGAGGUGGCCACGAGGCAGGGAGGCGCGCCCACCCCCUGGGCGUGCCCCCACCCUCAUGGGCCCCUAGUGGCUCCCGUGAACGACUUCUUUCUCCUAUAUAUCUCCAUAUACCCUAAAAACAUUGGGGACAACAAUAGAUCGGGAUUUCCGCCGCCGCAAGCCUAUGUAGCCACCAAAAACAUCUCGGGAGCCCGUUCCAGCACCCUGCCGGAGGGGGGAUCCCUCACCGGUGGCCAUCUUCAUCAUCCUGGCGCUCUCCAUGACGAGGAGGGAUUAGUUCACCCUCGGGGCUGAGGGUAUGUACCAGUAGCUAUGUGUUUGAUCUCUCUCCUCUCUCUCUCUUGUGUUCUUGAGGUGAUACGAUCUUGAUAUAUCGCGUGCUUUGCUAUUAUAGAUGGAUCUUAUGAUGUUUCUUCCCCUCUACUCUCUUGUGAUGAAUUGAGUUUUCCCCUUGAAGUUGUCUUGUCGGAUUGACUCUCUAAGGAUUUGAGAACACUUGAUGUAUGUCUUGUCGUGCUUAUCUAUGGCGAUAGCGGGAUAUUCACGUGAUCUACUUGAUGUAUAUUUUGGUGAUCAACUUGCGGGUUCAAUGAACUUAUGCAUAGGGGUUGGCACAUGUUUUCGUCUUGACUCUCCGGUAGAAACUUAGGGGCACUCUUUGAAGUACUUUGUGUUGGUUGAAUAGAUGAAUCUAAGCUUGUGUGAUGCAUAUCACAUAAUCAUGCCCACGGAUCCUUGAGGUGACAUUGGAGUAUCUAGGUGACAUUAGGGUUUUGGUUGAUUUGUGUCUUAAGGUGUUAUUCUAGUACGAACUCUACGAACAGAAAGAAUAGCUUCAUGUUAUUUUACUACGGACUCUUGAAUAGAUCAAUCAGAAAGGAUAACUUUGAGGUGGUUUCGUACUCUACCAUAAUCUCUUCGUUUGUUCUUCGCUAUUAGUGACUUUGGAGUGACUCUUUGUUGCAUGUUGAGGGAUUGUUAUAUGAUCUAAUUAUGUUAUUAUUAUGGAGAGAACUUGCACUAGUGAAAGUAUGAACCCUAGGCCUUGUUUCCUAACAUUGCAAUACCGUUUACGCUCACUUUUAUCAUUAGUUACCUUGCCGUUUUUUAUAUUUUCAGAUUACAAAAACCUAUAUCUAGCAUCCAUAUUGCACUUGUAUCACCAGCUCUUCGCCGAACUAGUGCACCUAUACAAUUUGCCAUUGUAUUGGGUGUGUUGGGGACACAAGAGACUCUUUGUUAUUUGGUUGCAGGGUUGUUUGAGAGAGACCAUCUUCAUCCUACGGCUCCCACAGAUUGAUGAACCUUAGGUCAUCCACUUGAGGGAAAUUUGCUACUGUCCUACAAACCUCUGCACUUGGAGGCCCAACAAUGUCUACAAGAAGAAGGUUGUGUAGUAGACAUCAACGGCUCGCCAUACGGCCACGAUGAGUAUGAGCCCCAACCUCUCAAUUCUCAGCAGAGGGAAGAGUUGCACCAUCGCAACGUUGAGGCGCUCCAAACCCCCAUCAUGGGGGAGAUCACUGAGGCUCGGGCCUUGGAGGCUGCGUGCCUGGCCACUUGGCUGAGCGCACGCGUUUGGAGAACCUCCAACAUUCUCUCGAUGAACGCGCCCGUCGACUGAUCCCUGAGUCCAGUCGACGACAACGGCAAUUUUUUCCGCCUGAACCCCAGGUAUAUCGCACUCAGAUCCAGAAUCUUACAUCUGCUGCACGUAGAAGAGUCUAUCCAGCCACCCCGUUCAGAAGCUGGAAGGGGCUUGGAGCAGAUCCGAGCGCUGCUUCGAGCAGCAGGAGAGCAAAACUCCGCCGUUUCUCAGUCGCGCAACAGGAUCCACAACAGGUCAAUAAGGCUAGAUACAGUUCAGUCGGUGCACAGCCCUGGGUCACCUUUGCGGUGUGAAGAUCGUGAUCGCCGUCGAGAUCGGCACCUGGGAAGAGACCAUGGGGAAUUUGAUCGUGAAUAUGCCCGUGACAACCACCGUCGAGUGCCUUCGCCCCCUCCGAGGGACAGGUCAUACACGCCCCGGCGGUAUGAUGACAGGCGCCCGUAUGGUAAUGACUGCAGAGUUCCAGUCGACCCAAGAGAGCCUGGGUUCAACGCAAGGUCAGUCCUUGUAGAAGGUUUGGUCGACCGGAACAGAGCAUUUAGAGAAGGAUUGGAUAGAGAUCGACCCAAUGGAAGCAGAUUACACGUUCCUGACCCCGAGUGCUUCGAAAGAGCCAUCCGAGCCGCCGAGAUCCCUCACAACUUCAGAUUGGCGACGAGUGUCAGUAAGUUCACCGGAGAGUCGAAGUCUGACACUUGGUUGGAGGAUUACCGAGUGGCUGUGCACAUCGGUGGUGGCAAUGAUGAGGUAGCCAUGAAACAUCUCCCUUUGAUGCUUGAGGGUUCUGCCAGAGCCUGGUUGAAUCAGUUGGCCCCUGGGAGCAUUUUCAAUUGGGAAGAAUUGUCCCGAGUGUUUACCAAAACAUUCGAGGUCACCUGCAAGAGACCUACUGGUUUGACAUAAUUACAACAUUGUGUGCAGAAACAGAAUGAGACUUUGAGAGAUUAUAUCCAGAGGUGGACUACCCUUCAUCACACAGUGGAGAACGUCUCAGAACACCAAGCAGUUUGUGCCUUUAAAGAAGGCGUUCGCUACAGAGAGCUCAAUCUGAAGUUCGGUCGGACUGGAGAUAUGUCUCUGACUCGGAUGAUGGAGAUUGCCACUCGGUAUGCUAAUGGCGAAGAAGAGGACCGACUCCAGAGCGGCAAGAACAAAUCAGUCACCAGGAUACCAAGAGAGGGAACUCCAGUCGAAAGCAGAAACGAAAAGUUGAGGCUGCGGGCCCCGCCGAGGCAGCGGUUUUGAAUCAAGGGAAGUUCAAGGGGAAGCCUAAAUGGCCUUGGACCCCUAAGAAAGUGAAAUAUCAAGCAGGAAAUGAUGUGCUUGAUUUACCCUAUCAUAUACACACCAAAAAGGAUGAAGAGGGGAAUCUGAUUCUUCCCAAGCAUACCACUCGACAAUGUCGACUCCCGAUUCAGAGUUUCCGAGAGAGCCAGCCCAGUGAAAAGGACAAAGAGUUUGAUAAGGAGGAGGACAAAGAGGAGGAUGGUGGUUACCCCAAUGUCAAUGCCACUUUGGUGUUUUUUGCUGACCUCGAGAGCAAAAGUCAACUAAAAGUUAUUAACAGAGAGGUAAACAUGGUUGCUCCGGCAAUGCCAAUAUAUUUGAAGUGGUCAAAAACCCCUAUUACAUUCGACCAGUCCGACCACCCAGCACACGUUGCUACCCCUGGGCAGUAAGCGUUGGUGGUCGACCCAGUUGUUGGGGGCACCCGACUGACCAAGGUUUUGAUGGACGGUGGCAGUGGAUUGAAUAUAUUGUAUGCUAAGGCCCUCUGGGGGAUGGGCAUUUCGAUGUCCAAGUUCAGUGAGAGCAACGUGAGAUUCCAUGGUGUCAUCCCAGGAAAGAAAGCUGACUCGCUCGGUCAGAUCACUCUUGAUGUGGUUUUCGGUGAUUCAAAGAAUUAUCGCAAUGAAAAGUUGACGUUUGAGGUGGUGGAUUUUGCAGUGCCUAUCAUGCCAUUCUAGGCAGACCUGCUUAUGCUCGUUUCAUGGCUCGACCGUGUUACGUGUACUUCAAGUUGAAGAUGCCCGACCCCAAUGGCGUGAUCACAGUCACUGGAAAUCGGCAAAGAGCAGAAUAUUGCCUCAAAAAGGCAAUUUUAAAUGCUUCCACAUGUCCACCUAAUCUAGCUGCCUUGCACUUUGCGUCAAAGAGAGUUGCGCCAGGUCAUUCUAAAUAUUCAUACCUAUCACUUUCGAUUAACAUACCAUUUCUCGUGAUGAAACCUCUUGAAACCCAACUAGUGGAACCUGCGCAAUAAUCCAGUUUUUUUUGCUGGUGUGCAAGUCUUUGUGUGAAGACAGAAGAGUGUUUUUGGCACUUCAGAUUUUCAUUUGAAAAUAGUUUUGGACAACAUUAAAGAGGUGGAUCAGUUUGCUGGAUAUGUCAUAUCACCAUGCCAUUUUUGCAUGAAUGAGACACUAGUACCUAACUAUCUUCCAUUUUGUGCAGGUGGAAAUUUGACGCUCCUCUAGUAAAGGCCGCUUCGCGUCAGCAGAGCAGCGUAGUAAAUACUGAAGAUGGUCACUAGAGCAGCAAAAAUUUUGUGGGCAACAGAAAUCAGGGCAAAAUCAGACUGCUACGGCUCGUCUGAUUUGUGUGAGUCUCCUCUGAUGCAUCCUUGUACCAAGAUAUCUCAGCUCUUGAGUAACAUAAGGCAGCUCAGCUCAUUUGUUGGGACCCUACAGAAAAUCACAGACGAUACACCUGAAUCCAUGUUCUGUAUCAUCCUGUAAAAAUAGAUAAAAAAGUUUAAUUAUAUGCACCAUUCAUGGCUUCUCUAAUAGGAAGAGUUCUCUUAGGCGCAUUGUUUUCGUGUAAUAUAGGUCAGAGCUGAUGGGCUCGCCAAAUUGGUCUGGGGUUAAGACAUUUGUUUGUGUAAUGGUGUGAAAUAAUAACGAUCCAGCUCUCAGUUUUCUAAUACUUCCUUUGUCCUACAAUGCACGGCGAUUUUGCAAGUUAUGUUGCUUGCAAAAACGUCUUAUGUUAU